UACAGAGGGUGCAAGCGUUGUUCGGAAUUACUGGGCGUAAAGCGCGUGUAGGCGGCUCGGAUAGUCGGGUGUGAAAGCCCUGGGCUCAACCCAGGAAGUGCACUCGAUACUGCCGAGCUGGAGUCCCGGAGAGGAUGGCGGAAUUCUCGGUGUAGAGGUGAAAUUCGUAGAUAUCGAGAGGAACACCUGUGGCGAAGGCGGCCUUCUGGACGGUGACUGACGCUGAGACGCGAAAGCGUGGGGAGCAAACAGG
This 253-nucleotide ribosomal RNA is filed under the name uncultured bacterium. RNAcentral's name for it is "partial 16S ribosomal RNA". It matches the Rfam family "Bacterial small subunit ribosomal RNA", at positions 524 to 776 of the family's 1533-position model. The record is from RNAcentral.